GUGGUUGUAGCUCAGUUGGUUAGAGCGCCUGGUUGUGGUUCAGGAGGUCGCCGGUUCGAACCCGGUCUUCCACC
RNAcentral lists this transfer RNA (74 nucleotides) under Flavobacteriaceae bacterium. RNAcentral's name for it is "tRNA-His". It matches the Rfam family "tRNA". From Rfam's summary of the family: Transfer RNA (tRNA) molecules are approximately 80 nucleotides in length. Their secondary structure includes four short double-helical elements and three loops (D, anti-codon, and T loops). Further hydrogen bonds mediate the characteristic L-shaped molecular structure. tRNAs have two regions of fundamental functional importance: the anti-codon, which is responsible for specific mRNA codon recognition, and the 3' end, to which the tRNAs corresponding amino acid is attached (by aminoacyl-tRNA synthetases). tRNAs cope with the degeneracy of the genetic code in two manners: having more than one tRNA (with a specific anti-codon) for a particular amino acid; and 'wobble' base-pairing, i.e. permitting non-standard base-pairing at the 3rd anti-codon position. RNAcentral also lists the same sequence under 1 other name. The record is from RNAcentral. Lineage: Bacteria; Pseudomonadati; Bacteroidota; Flavobacteriia; Flavobacteriales; Flavobacteriaceae.